This 1047-nucleotide ribosomal RNA is filed under the name fungal endophyte. RNAcentral's name for it is "eukaryotic LSU rRNA". The stretch from base 474 to 1047 matches the Rfam family "Eukaryotic large subunit ribosomal RNA", at positions 1 to 582 of the family's 3401-position model. Lineage: Eukaryota; Fungi. The record is from RNAcentral.
UCACCCAGGUUGCCGCAAGGCCUCCUGGGUAACCUACCACCCUUUGUUUAUUACACUUUGUUGCUUUGGCAAGCCUGCCCUCGGGCUGCUGGCUCCGGCCGGCGAGCGCUUGCCAGAGGACCUAAACUCUGUUUGUCUAUACUGUCUGAGUACUAUAUAAUAGUUAAAACUUUCAACAACGGAUCUCUUGGUUCUGGCAUCGAUGAAGAACGCAGCGAAAUGCGAUAAGUAAUGUGAAUUGCAGAAUUCAGUGAAUCAUCGAAUCUUUGAACGCACAUUGCGCCCCCUGGUAUUCCGGGGGGCAUGCCUGUCCGAGCGUCAUUACAACCCUCAAGCUCAGCUUGGUAUUGGGCCCCGCCGACCCGGCGGGCCCUAAAGUCAGUGGCGGUGCCGUCCGGCUCCGAGCGUAGUAAUUCUUCUCGCUCUGGAGGUCCGGUCGUGUGCUCGCCAGCAACCCCCAAUUUUUUUCAGGUUGACCUCGGAUCAGGUAGGGAUACCCGCUGAACUUAAGCAUAUCAAUAAGCGGAGGAAAAGAAACCAACAGGGAUUACCUCAGUAACGGCGAGUGAAGCGGUAACAGCUCAAAUUUGAAAUCUGGCCUCACGGUCCGAGUUGUAAUUUGUAGAGGAUGCUUCGAGCAUGGUCUGGCCUAAGUUCCUUGGAACAGGACGUCAUAGAGGGUGAGAAUCCCGUAUGCGGCCAGGUGCCUACGCUCAUGUGAAGCUCCUUCGACGAGUCGAGUUGUUUGGGAAUGCAGCUCAAAAUGGGUGGUAAAUUUCAUCUAAAGCUAAAUAUUGGCCAGAGACCGAUAGCGCACAAGUAGAGUGAUCGAAAGAUGAAAAGCACUUUGGAAAGAGAGUUAAACAGUACGUGAAAUUGUUGAAAGGGAAGCGCUUGCAACCAGACUUGCGCGCGGCCGAUCAUCCGGUGUUCUCACCGGUGCACUCGGCCGUGCUCAGGCCAGCAUCGGUUUUGGCGGCUGGAUAAAGGCCCUAGGAAUGUGGCUCCUCUCGGGGAGUGUUAUAGCCUAGGGUGCAAUGCAGCCUG